ACAGUGUUCCUGGCAGCUAUUCAAGAAAUUUAGUUAGUACGUUACUUUCUUAUGGGAGCUAUUGUUUGUAGUUUACUAUUAACUAAAUAUUAAAAAUCAAGUGGUUACAAAAAGCAGGUGCAUGUGAUGAUAUUAUAAGACAUGAUAAUGUCCUAACAUGAAGAAAACAAAUAGAAAGUUUCAAACAAAUAUUGUCAUGCUGGACAAACUCUCACCCGCGUGUGAUUCAUAUGCUUUCUCCAAAACAACUACCUGCCACCAACUCUCACAUUUCAUAUAAGAUAUUGGUAAUUCACAACAUAGUAUCAAGGAUUUUGAAGUCUCCGCAACAGUAUUGCCACGGUAAUAUAAGGGAUUUUGAAGCCUCCACAACAGUAUUGCCACUGUAAUAUAAGGGAUUUUAAAGUCUCCACAACAGUAUUGCAACCGCAAUUUUGACAUCUUAUUCCCGCAUUUUUCUGCAAUAUAAAGGUUUGCAACGUAACUAGAACCACUAUAUAUAAUCUAUAGUUGGUAGUAUUAGUUUUGCCACCGUCGAGGGACAAUAGUAGUUGUAUAGUUUUCAGAAAUUGAUUCAAAUUCUGUGAUGCUAACAAGUGAAAUGAGCGCUUUUUCUGUGCUGCUGAUUCUACUAAUCUUCUGCAAUUCUGGGUUUUGUAUUGCUGGUGGUUUGUUGAAUUUCACAAGUUCUGCUUCAUCGCGUAAAAAUCUAUCUAGAAGUAGCAAUCCAGAGUUGGAAGACAAGAGAGGUGUGCCAUCAGGAGCUAAUCCUCUGCAUAAUCGGUAGCAACCUCUGUAGCACCUACACUUCUGAUCGAAGAUGAGUCUGGUGUGCGACACAUGUCAGUGUCCAACACAAGAGACAUAGACAAACACGUGUACGUGGGGACCACAGAGAAAGAGAUGUGUUCUGAGAGUAUUAGCUUCAGGACCUCUAAAGGGUUAAAACGAAUCUGAUAUUCCUUUUGUUCUUGUUUGGAAUGUUAUGAGAAAGAAGGGAAAAAAGUAUUGAUCAUAUUUAAGAAUUGUCUAUAAUUUGGAUUCUUUUGAGUGUUGUUAUCUGACAUGUUUGUGCAUGAGCUGUCUCUUUGUUUGAUUAUGUCUUGCACUGCAUGCCUAUAAUAAAUUAAUUCUUUUUUA
Medicago truncatula (barrel medic) is the source of this 1140-nucleotide long non-coding RNA. RefSeq lists it as uncharacterized. The record is from RefSeq and is a predicted model, not a curated record. NCBI's taxonomy places the organism in Eukaryota, Viridiplantae, Streptophyta, Magnoliopsida, Fabales, Fabaceae. The transcript is spliced from 2 exons.